GCACUGCUGAGGAGUUCCACGACAGAACGAAACGACUGUCCAGUGC
RNAcentral lists this non-coding RNA (46 nucleotides) under Schistosoma mattheei. Lineage: Eukaryota; Metazoa; Platyhelminthes; Trematoda; Strigeidida; Schistosomatidae. The record is from RNAcentral.